CGGAGGGUGCGAGCGUUAUCCGGAUUUACUGGGUUUAAAGGGUGUGUAGGCGGGCUAUUAAGUCAGCGGUGAAAUCUUCGGGCUCAACCCGGAAACUGCCAUUGAUACUAUUAGUCUUGAAUACUGUGGAGGUAUGCGGAAUGUGUCAUGUAGCGGUGAAAUGCUUAGAGAUGACACAGAACACCGAUUGCGAAGGCAGCGUACUACACAGUUAUGACGCUGAGGCACGAAAGCGUGGGAUCAAACAGGAUU
RNAcentral lists this ribosomal RNA (252 nucleotides) under uncultured bacterium. RNAcentral's name for it is "partial 16S ribosomal RNA". It matches the Rfam family "Bacterial small subunit ribosomal RNA", at positions 526 to 779 of the family's 1533-position model. The record is from RNAcentral.